This 71-nucleotide transfer RNA is filed under the name Anatolichthys anatoliae anatoliae. RNAcentral describes it as "Aphanius anatoliae anatoliae tRNA-Trp". It matches the Rfam family "tRNA". From Rfam's summary of the family: Transfer RNA (tRNA) molecules are approximately 80 nucleotides in length. Their secondary structure includes four short double-helical elements and three loops (D, anti-codon, and T loops). The record is from RNAcentral. Lineage: Eukaryota; Metazoa; Chordata; Actinopteri; Cyprinodontiformes; Aphaniidae.
AGGGACUUAGGAUACAAAUAGACCAAGGGCCUUCAAAGCCCUAAGCGGGAGUGAAAACCUUCCAGCCCCUG